AUUGAACGCUGGCGGCAGGCCUAACACAUGCAAGUCGAGCGGAUGAAGGGAGCUUGCUCCUGGAUUCAGCGGCGGACGGGUGAGUAAUGCCUAGGAAUCUGCCUGGUAGUGGGGGAUAACGUCCGGAAACGGGCGCUAAUACCGCAUACGUCCUGAGGGAGAAAGUGGGGGAUCUUCGGACCUCACGCUAUCAGAUGAGCCUAGGUCGGAUUAGCUAGUUGGUGGGGUAAAGGCCUACCAAGGCGACGAUCCGUAACUGGUCUGAGAGGAUGAUCAGUCACACUGGAACUGAGACACGGUCCAGACCCCUACGGGAGGCAGCAGUGGGGAAUAUUGGACAAUGGGCGAAAGCCUGAUCCAGCCAUGCCGCAUGUGUGAAGAAGGUCUUCGGAUUGUAAAGCACUUUAAGUUGGGAGGAAGGGCAGUAAGUUAAUACCUUGCUGUUUUGACGUUACCAACAGAAUAAGCACCGGCUAACUUCGUG
Molecule: ribosomal RNA, 484 nt
Filed under: uncultured bacterium
Lineage: Bacteria
Description: partial 16S ribosomal RNA
Rfam family: Bacterial small subunit ribosomal RNA
Source: RNAcentral